This 273-nucleotide ribosomal RNA is filed under the name uncultured bacterium. RNAcentral's name for it is "partial 16S ribosomal RNA". It matches the Rfam family "Bacterial small subunit ribosomal RNA", at positions 524 to 796 of the family's 1533-position model. The record is from RNAcentral.
UACAGAGGGUGCAAGCGUUAAUCGGAGUUACUGGGCGUAAAGGGCGCGUAGGCGGUGAGAUGUGAGUGAUGUGAAAGCCCUGGGCUUAACCUAGGAAGUGCAUCGCUAACUAUCUGACUGGAGUAUAAGAGAGGGUGGCGGAAUUUCCGGUGUAGCGGUGAAAUGCGUAGAGAUCGGAAGGAACGUCAAUGGCGAAGGCAGCCACCUGGCUUAAUACUGACGCUGAGGCGCGAAAGCGUGGGGAGCGAACAGGAUUAGAAACCCCAGUAGUCC